CACGGGGGGAGCAAGCGUUGUUCGGAAUCACUGGGCGUAAAGGGCGUGUAGGCGGUUCGGUAAGUGGAAUGUGAAAUCCCUCGGCUCACCCGAGGACCUGCAUCCCAAACUGCCGGACUAGAGUAUGGGAGAGGAUGAGGGAAUUCCUGGUGUAGCGGUGAAAUGCGUAGAUAUCAGGAGGAACACCGGUGGCGAAAGCGCUCAUCUAGCCCAAUACUGACGCUGAGGCGCGAAGGCCAGGGGAGCAAACGGG
This 253-nucleotide ribosomal RNA is filed under the name uncultured bacterium. Its description in RNAcentral is "partial 16S ribosomal RNA". It matches the Rfam family "Bacterial small subunit ribosomal RNA", at positions 524 to 776 of the family's 1533-position model. The record is from RNAcentral.